GAUGAACGCUAGCGGCAGGCCUAAUACAUGCAAGUCGGACGGGAUUCAGGAGCUUGCUUCUGAUGAGAGUGGCGCACGGGUGCGUAACACGUAUGUAACCUACCUUUAUCAGGGGGAUAGCCUCUCGAAAGAGAGAUUAAGCCCGCAUAAAAUCACAGCACAGCAUUGUGUAGUGAUCAAAUAUUUAUAGGAUAAAGAUGGGCAUGCGGAACAUUAGCUAGCUGGCGGGGUAACGGCCCACCAGGGCGACGAUGUUUAGGGGAUCUGAGAGGAUGGCCCCCCACACGGGGACUGAGACACGGACCAGAGACCUACGGGAGGCAGCAGUAAGGAAUAUUGCUGAAUGGGCGGAAGCCUGAACCAGCCAUGCCGCGUGCAGGAAGACGGCCUUACGGGUUGUAAACUGCUUUUAUACGGGAAUAAACCCAGAUACGUGUAUCUGGCUGAAUGUACUGUAAGAAGAAGGAUCGGCUAACUACGUG
This 482-nucleotide ribosomal RNA is filed under the name uncultured bacterium. Its description in RNAcentral is "partial 16S ribosomal RNA". It matches the Rfam family "Bacterial small subunit ribosomal RNA", at positions 28 to 507 of the family's 1533-position model. The record is from RNAcentral.